GCCAAAUAGGUUUUGAGGAUGGCUCAGUUGGUAGAGCAUGAGGCACUUAAUCUCCGGGUCAUGAGUUCAAGCCCCACAUUGGGCA
Molecule: non-coding RNA, 85 nt
Organism: Podarcis lilfordi (Lilford's wall lizard)
Lineage: Eukaryota; Metazoa; Chordata; Lepidosauria; Squamata; Lacertidae
Source: the annotation of a GenBank genome assembly